CCCUUAGAUGUCCUGGGCCGCACGCGCGCUACACUGAACGGAUCAGCGCGUUUUCCCUUCCCGAGAGGGACGGGUAACCUGCUGAACCCCGUUCGUGGUAGGGAUCGGGGCUUGCAAUUAUUCCCCGUGAACCAGGAAUGCCCAGUAAGUGCAAGUCAUAAGCUUGCGUUGAUUACGUCCCUGCCCUUUGUACACACCGCCCGUCGCUACUACCGAUUGAACGUUUUAGUGAGGUACUCGGACUGCGCCUCAGAAGAUUCACGUCUUUUGUGCUGCUCGGGAAGAUUCCCAAACUUGAGCGUUUAGAGGAAGUAAAAGUCGUANCA
This 326-nucleotide ribosomal RNA is filed under the name uncultured eukaryote. Its description in RNAcentral is "partial 18S ribosomal RNA". It matches the Rfam family "Eukaryotic small subunit ribosomal RNA", at positions 1470 to 1796 of the family's 1831-position model. The record is from RNAcentral.